RNAcentral lists this ribosomal RNA (2003 nucleotides) under activated sludge metagenome. RNAcentral's name for it is "bacterial LSU rRNA". It matches the Rfam family "Bacterial large subunit ribosomal RNA", at positions 719 to 2757 of the family's 2925-position model. The record is from RNAcentral.
AACUAGGUGAUCUAACCAUGAGCAGGGUGAAGGAAUGAGAAAUCAUUUUGAAGGCCCGAACUCUUUAAUGUUACAAAAUUAUGAGACGACUUAUGGUUAGCGGUAACAUGCCAAACGAACCUAGUAAUAGCUGGUUCUCCCCGAAAUAGCUUUUGGGCUAGCCUCGAGUGUUUAUGAUAGGGGGUAGAGCACUGAAUGGGGGCGGGUCGCAAGAUACCGUCUCUAACCAAACUCCGAAUACCUGUCAAUAUAACUCGGGAGUCAGACUGCGGGGGCUAAGCUUCGUAGUCAAAAGGAAAACAGUCCAGAUCGCAAUUUAAGGUCCCUAAAUAUAUACUAAGUGUAAAAGGUGGUGUUGUGACCACGACAAUUAGGAGGUUGGCUUAGAAGCAGCCAUCCUUUAAAGAAAGCGUAAUAGCUCACUAAUCAAGUUGUUUCGCGCCGAAAAUGUAUCGGGGCUAAGUAUAUUACCGAAAAUGCGGGUUAAUAGAUUUAUCUAUUAGCGGUAGAGGAGCAUUCUAUUCAGCGUCGAAGUCAAGUCGCGAGGCUUGGUGGAGCGGAUAGAAGAGAGAAUGUUGGCAUGAGUAGCAAGAAGGCGGAUGAAAACUCCGCCCACCGAAAAUCUAAGGUUUCCUGGGCAACGAAAAUCGACCCAGGGUUAGUCGGUCCUAAGGCCAAACUAGUGUAGUGCUAGUAACGUCGAUGGAUGAGCUGGUUAAUAUUCCAGCACUACUGUUGUUUUCCGACGGGGGGACGCAGUUUCAAAGUUUUAGCGUUCUAUGAUAUGGACGUUCAUAGCCUCAAGAAUGGCUCCAGGCAAAUCCGGAGCCAACAAUUCAAGGGGUCGUGAAGAGACAAAACCGCAAGGUGGCGUCAAUUUUAGCGGCGGAGCUGACAAGAAAAACCUCUAGGGUUAAGGCAACAGUAACCGUACUAAAACCGACACAGGUAGAUGAGGCGAGGAGCCUCAGGUGUACGAGAGAAACUUCGUUAAGGAACUCGGCAAAAUAGCGGCCGUAAGUUCGCAAUAAGGCCUGCCCCAGCAAUGGGGCCGCAGCUAAAGAGCCCAAUGAACUGUUUACCAAAAACACAGCUCCCUGCUAACUCGUAAGAGGAUGUAUAGGGGGUGAUGCCUGGCCAGUGUCCGAACGUCAAGAGGAGAGGUUAGCCGCAAGGCGAAGCCUUGAAUCCAAGCGCGGAUGAACGCCGGCGAUAACUAUAAUCGUCCUAAGGUAGCGAAAUUCCUUGUCGGGUAAGUUCCGACCUGCACGAAUGGCUUAAUCAGUUGGGCACUGUCUCGACGAAGUACUCGGCGAAAUUGCAAUGUGAGUAAAGAUGCUCACUAAUCGUAGUUGGACGAAAAGACCCCGUGAAGCUUUACUAUAGCUUGAUAUUGAAUUAGGGAUCUGCAUGUUCAGUAUAGGUGGGAGCCUUCGGGCGCCAGUGAGAUACCACCCUUGCAUAUUUUUAAUUCUCACCCCGAGAUGUCGGGGGACAGUGUCUGGUGGGUAGUUUGUCUGGGGCGGAUGCCUCCCAAAUCGUAACGGAGGCGUUUACAAAGGUUGGCUAUCCCGGAAUGGAAACCCGGGAGAUAGUGUAAAGGCACAAGCCAGCUUUACUGCGAGACUUACCGGUCAAGCAGUCGCGAAAGCGGAACUUAGUGAUCCGACCAUUCAAUAUAGGAUGGUGGAAGCUCAUCGGAUAAAAGCUACUCCGGGGAUAACAGGCUAGUCACGCCCAAGCGUCCACAGCGACGGCGUGGUUCGGCACCUCGAUGUCGGCUCGUCGCAUCCUGGGGGUGGAGAAGCUCCCAAGGGUUGGGCUGUUCGCCCAUUAAAGCGGCACGCGAGCUGGGUUCAGACCGUCGUAAGACAGGUCGGUCUCCUAUCCACUACGAUCGCGGAAAUUUGAGGAGGCCCUUCCUUAGUACGAGAGGACCGGGAAGGACGAAGCUCUGGUGUACCAGCUGUUCUAUCAAGGGCAUUGCUGGGUAGCUAUCUUCG